This 458-nucleotide ribosomal RNA is filed under the name uncultured bacterium. RNAcentral describes it as "partial 16S ribosomal RNA". It matches the Rfam family "Bacterial small subunit ribosomal RNA", at positions 338 to 795 of the family's 1533-position model. The record is from RNAcentral.
CCUACGGGAGGCAGCAGUGGGGAAUAUUGCACAAUGGGGGAAACCCUGAUGCAGCGACGCCGCGUGAGUGAAGAAGUAUUUCGGUACGUAAAGCUCUAACAGCAGGGAAGAAAAACCGGCCUUAGGGCCGCCAGACGGUACCUGCCUAAGAAGCCCCGGCUAACUACGUGCCAGCAGCCGCGGUAAUACGUAGGGGGCAAGCGUUAGCCGGAUUUACUGGGUGUAAAGGGAGCGUAGACGGCAGCGCAAGUCUGGAGUGAAAUGCCGGGGCCCAACCCCGGAACUGCUUUGGAAACUGUGCAGCUGGAGUGCAGGAGAGGUAAGCGGAAUUCCUAGUGUAGCUGUGAAAUGCGUAGAUAUUAGGAGGAACACCAGUGGCGAAGGCGGCUUACUGGACUGUGACUGACGUUGAGGCUCGAAAGCGUGGGGAGCAAACAGGAUUAGAUACCCUGGUAGUC